UGGGGAAUUUUGCACAAUGGAGGGAACUCUGAUGCAGCGACGCCGCGUGAGUGAUGAAGGAAUUCGUUUCGUAAAACUCUGUUCUAUGGGAAGAAAAGGACUGUACCAUAGGAGAAAGCUCCGGCUAAAUACGUGCCAGCAGCCGCGGUAAUACGUAUGGAGCGAGCGUUGUCCGGAAUUAUUGGGCGUAAAGGGUGCGCAGGCGGCUUUACAAGUUGGAUGUGAAAUAUUGUGGCUCAACCACAAACGUGCAUCCAAAACUGCAAAGCUUGAGUUAAGGAGAGGUAAGUGGAAUUCCUGGUGUAGCGGUGGAAUGCGUAGAUAUCAGGAGGAAUACCGGUGGCGAAGGCGACUUACUGGACUUAAACUGACGCUCAGGCACUAAAGCGUGGGGAGCAAACAGG
RNAcentral lists this ribosomal RNA (404 nucleotides) under Fusobacteriota bacterium. Its description in RNAcentral is "Fusobacteria bacterium partial 16S ribosomal RNA". It matches the Rfam family "Bacterial small subunit ribosomal RNA", at positions 355 to 776 of the family's 1533-position model. The record is from RNAcentral. Lineage: Bacteria; Fusobacteriati; Fusobacteriota.